GACGAACGCUGGCGGCGUGCCUAACACAUGCAAGUCGAGCGGAGUCGAUCGACGGAAGCCUUCGGGCGGAAGAUGGUUGACUUAGCGGCGGAUGGGUGGGUAACGCGUGGGCAACCUGCCUCGAAGACCGGGAUAACAGACCGAAAGGGCUGCUAAUACCGGAUGUGGUCAAGGAUCCGCAUGGAUCUUUGAUUAAAGGGGAAACCCGUUUCGAGAUGGGCCCGCGUCCUAUCAGCUAGUUGGUGAGGUAAAAGCUCACCAAGGCGACGACGGGUAGCCGGCCUGAGAGGGUGACCGGCCACACUGGAACUGAGACACGGUCCAGACUCCUACGGGGGGCAGCAGUGGGGAAUCUUCCACAAUGGGCGAAAGCCUGAUGGAGCGACGCCGCGUGAGCGAAGAAGGCCUUCGGGUUGUAAAGCUCUGUCUGGAGGGACGAAGGAAGUGACGGUACCUCCGGAGGAAGCCACGGCUAACUACGUG
Molecule: ribosomal RNA, 483 nt
Filed under: uncultured bacterium
Lineage: Bacteria
Description: bacterial SSU rRNA
Rfam family: Bacterial small subunit ribosomal RNA
Source: RNAcentral